RNAcentral lists this unclassified non-coding RNA (220 nucleotides) under soil metagenome. RNAcentral describes it as "partial contains 5.8S ribosomal RNA, internal transcribed spacer 2, and large subunit ribosomal RNA". The record is from RNAcentral.
AACAAGGCGUACCUGCGGACCUGCGGAGGGAUCAUUACGAGAGUGUCACCACUCCCAACCCACUGUUUACCUACCCGUCCACCGUGCUUCGGCAGGCAGUCCUGUGGGACAGGGCCUCGCCCCCGCGAGGGGGUGCCUGCCGCUGGCCAACCAAAAAUUCUAGCUGUUUUUGUACCAUCUGAGUCUUCCACAAAUAAACAAAACUUUUAACAACGGAUCU